AAAGAAACUAACAAGGAUUCCCCUAGUAACGGCGAGUGAAGCGGGAAGAGCUCAAAUUUAAAAUCUGGCUUGCUUGCAAGUCCGAGUUGUAGUCUGAAGAAGCGUUUUCCAUGAAAGCUGAGGCACAAGUCCUUUGGAACAGGGCAUCAUAGAGGGUGAGAAUCCCGUCCAUGGUCUCAUGCAUUUCAUUUUGUGAUACGUUUUCUAAGAGUCAGGUUGUUUGGGAAUGCAGCCUAAAAUGGGUGGUAAAUUUCAUCUAAAGCUAAAUAUUGGCGAGAGACCGAUAGCGAACAAGUACCGUGAGGGAAAGAUGAAAAGAACUUUGAAAAGAGAGUUAAAAAGUACGUGAAAUUGUUGAAAGGGAACCGUUUGAAGCCAGUCUUGCUUACUUGUGAUCAAUCUUAGCUUCGGCUUGGAUGCACUCUCAAGUUAUGCAGGUCAACGUCAGUUUGAGAGGUGGGAAAAAAGUUUGAGGAAUGUGGCCUUCGGGUGUUAUAGCCUCUUACUAAAUACCAUCUCCUGGACUGAGGCUCGCAGCAAAAAUGUGGGCUGGUUUGCUCCUGAGGUGAAUCAUUAUUAAGACAGCUUGCUGACUUAGUUUUGUGGAUCUUCACGGUAGGCUAGCUUCUAAUUUGCUUAGGUCCGUU
This 647-nucleotide ribosomal RNA is filed under the name Umbelopsis isabellina. RNAcentral's name for it is "eukaryotic LSU rRNA". It matches the Rfam family "Eukaryotic large subunit ribosomal RNA", at positions 58 to 627 of the family's 3401-position model. Lineage: Eukaryota; Fungi; Mucoromycota; Umbelopsidomycetes; Umbelopsidales; Umbelopsidaceae. The record is from RNAcentral.